RNAcentral lists this ribosomal RNA (274 nucleotides) under uncultured bacterium. Its description in RNAcentral is "partial 16S ribosomal RNA". It matches the Rfam family "Bacterial small subunit ribosomal RNA", at positions 523 to 796 of the family's 1533-position model. The record is from RNAcentral.
AUACGGAGGGGGUUAGCGUUGUUCGGAAUUACUGGGCGUAAAGCGUACGUAGGCGGACUAGUAAGUGAGGGGUGAAAUCCCAGGGCUCAACCCUGGAACUGCCUUUCAUACUGCUAGUCUUGAGGUCGAGAGAGGUGAGUGGAAUUCCGAGUGUAGAGGUGAAAUUCGCAGAUAUUCGGAGGAACACCAGUGGCGAAGGCGGCUCACUGGCUCGAUUCUGACGCUGAGGUACGAAAGUGUGGGGAGCAAACAGGAUUAGAAACCCCAGUAGUCC